UACGUAGGGGGCAAGCGUUGUCCGGAUUUAUUGGGCGUAAAGAGCGUGUAGGCGGCUUUACAGGUCCGUUGUGAAAACUCGAGGCUCAACCUCGAGACGCCGGUGGAAACCGUAAGGCUAGAGUCCGGAAGAGGAGAGUGGAAUUCCUAGUGUAGAGGUGAAAUUCGUAGAUAUUAGGAAGAACACCAGUGGCGAAGGCGGCUCACUGGCCCGGUACUGACGCUGAGGCGCGAAAGCCAGGGGAGCAAACGGG
RNAcentral lists this ribosomal RNA (253 nucleotides) under uncultured bacterium. RNAcentral describes it as "partial 16S ribosomal RNA". It matches the Rfam family "Bacterial small subunit ribosomal RNA", at positions 524 to 776 of the family's 1533-position model. The record is from RNAcentral.